UCUUGAGCUGUGGCUCAGUGGUAGAGCAUCUGUUUGGCAUGCAGAAGGUCCCAAGAUCAAAUUCCAGAGUCUCUCGUCAAAGGAA
RNAcentral lists this transfer RNA (85 nucleotides) under Sphaerodactylus townsendi. RNAcentral describes it as "tRNA-Ala". The stretch from base 4 to 60 matches the Rfam family "tRNA". From Rfam's summary of the family: Transfer RNA (tRNA) molecules are approximately 80 nucleotides in length. Their secondary structure includes four short double-helical elements and three loops (D, anti-codon, and T loops). Lineage: Eukaryota; Metazoa; Chordata; Lepidosauria; Squamata; Sphaerodactylidae. The record is from RNAcentral.